CCUACGGGAGGCAGCAGUGGGGAAUCUUGCGCAAUGGGCGAAAGCCUGACGCAGCAACGCCGCGUGCGGGAAGAAGGCUUUCGGGCUGUAAACCGCUUUCAGCAGGAACGAAAAUGACGGUACCUGCAGAAGAAGGAGCGGCCAACUAUGUGCCAGCAGCCGCGGUGAUACAUAGGCUUCAAGCGUUGUCCGGAUUUAUUGGGCGUAAAGAGUUCGUAGGCGGUCGAGUAAGCCGGGUGUGAAAAUUCUGGGCUCAACCCAGAGACGCCACCCGAUACUGCUUGACUUGAGUUCGAUAGGGGAGUGGGGAAUUCCUAGUGUAGCGGUGAAAUGCGCAGAUAUUAGGAGGAACACCGGUGGCGAAGGCGCCACUCUGGAUCGAUACUGACGCUGAGGAACGAAAGCAUGGGUAGCAAACAGGAUUAGAUACCCUGGUAGUCCAUGCCGUAAACGGUGGGCACUAGGUGUGGGUUUCUAUUAACGAAAUCCGCGCCGUCGCUAACGCAUUAAGUGCCCCGCCUGGGGAGUACGGUCGCAAGCUAAAACUCAAAGGAAUUGACGG
This 562-nucleotide ribosomal RNA is filed under the name uncultured bacterium. RNAcentral describes it as "bacterial SSU rRNA". It matches the Rfam family "Bacterial small subunit ribosomal RNA", at positions 338 to 916 of the family's 1533-position model. The record is from RNAcentral.